RNAcentral lists this ribosomal RNA (253 nucleotides) under uncultured bacterium. RNAcentral's name for it is "partial 16S ribosomal RNA". It matches the Rfam family "Bacterial small subunit ribosomal RNA", at positions 524 to 776 of the family's 1533-position model. The record is from RNAcentral.
UACGUAGGGUGCGAGCGUUAAUCGGAAUUACUGGGCGUAAAGCGUGCGCGGGCGGCUUUGCAAGACAGAGGUGAAAUCCCCGGGCUCAACCUGGGAACUGCAUUUGUGACUGCAAGGCUAGAGUACGGCAGAGGGGGAUGGAAUUCCGCGUGUAGCAGUGAAAUGCGUAGAUAUGCGGAGGAACACCAAUGGCGAAGGCAAUCCCCUGGGCCUGUACUGACGCUCAUGCACGAAAGCGUGGGGAGCAAACAGG